UAUAAGUUAAAGCUAUUUAUUUGGAAAUUAAAUAGAUACAAAUUUAGAUAUAAAUAAAAACUAUAUCAAUUUUUGCGUUUGUAUGAAAAUUGAGUUGCACCGGAUAAUAAAAUAAAUAGCAUUUGAAUGGUUAUUUUGGAACAAAAGAAAUAAGAGUUAUAAUUUUAAAUUAAAAAUAUUUUAUCUAAUUAAUUAAUAUCAAAAUAUUAAUUAAAAAUAAUUUAAUAAAGUAAUAAAUUUAUUAGGUAUGAAUAUUAUAUAAGACAAUAAAAAUAUAUUAAUAAAUUAAUGAAAUAUAAAGUAUAAUUUAAUUUUUUUUAAUUAGUUGGUAAAUUAUUUUAGUUAGAUAACUAGUAAAAAAUUAAUUACGGUAAUAAAAAUAUUAAUUGUUUAUCAAUAUAAGUAUUAGUUUAUAAAUAAACAUAUUAAAUUAUUAAUAAUUAAUUAGCUAAUUAAUUUUAAAUAAUAAUUAAUUAGCCUCCACCCAAUCCAUAUGGCAGCCACCACACUCCGAAAGUCACAAAAAAAUUCCUCGACAAAACGCUCGCUAAAUCGGCUCCUAAAUCAUAUAGAAAUUCAAUUCUAAGUUUUUAAUUUCAACGAAAAUCCGUUUCGUUGAAUUCACACGCUAGGUGGGUUCCGAGUCGUCGAAAACGGCAAACUUUCUCUUUUGUCUAUUUGUAGGAAUAUGAAUGUGUAUAUAAUUUAUAUGCUAUUUUCAGUUUAGCAGUUCUCUAUCAUGUGGUUGUAGCUUUGUUUUGUUUACAAGUACAGCUAUUACUUCGUAUACAAAAAAAAUUUUAUGUAUACAACGGGCCUGUUGGCGUAUCCGGAGAAACGUGUAGUAUGAGGCAUGACAAAUUAAGUUGGUACCACUUUCUUGGUGCUUUUAAGAGUAUUCUAGCUCAACUAUAUAUAUAUAUAUAUAUAUAAGUAAAUGAUGUUGAAAAAUUAUAAAAUUUGAUUUCUAGAAAUUUUAAAUGCUGUAAAUAACGUUUAACGGUAUGGAUCGUCGAUUCGGAAGCUCUAUCAUCGAAAACAACUUAUGAGUAUGAGGGCGAUCGUACUCAUAAUAGUAUAGUAGAUGGACCAUAUAUAUAUAUAUAUAUAUAUAGAAUUAGGCUGGAAUACUAUUAAUAGUAAAACGCUCUUUUUGCUAUCAAGUUUUUAACCCUUGGAUGAAAAAUUGUAGGUCAGAAUGAUAUUAGUCGGUUAGAGUUGAGUGGUCCCCCUAGGGUUGAAUGGUCCCCACUGGGUUAUAAUAUUUAAUCCAAUGGUUAAAAAUAAUAAAAAGAGUUGAUCCAAAGGCUAAAAAACUGGUAGUAAUAAUAGGAUUUGUCAAACUCUCUCUCUCUCUCUCUCUCUCUCUCUCUNUCUCUCUCUCUCUCUAUAUAUAUAUAUAUAGAGUAGGGCUGCUGUGCUCUCAGGAGCACGGAGGCCUCCGUGCUCCUGAGCCGUUUUCGAUGAUAGAAUUUUCGAAUCGACGAUCGGUUCCGUUAGACUUGAUCUAGCGUAUUUGAAAUUUCUAGAAAAUAAUUUUUGCGAUUUUUCGAUAUCAUUUACCUAGUAAUCGAAAAGAUUCAAAAUCAAUAAUUUUUAACGGCUGAAAAUAAAAAUCUUAUAAAAAGUGGUGAUAUAGCACUAAAAUUUUCGAUCAGAAAUAUUGAUCUUGUUAUAGAUAGUAUAAAGAAUUUUGUAUCAAAAUUUAAUCAGAUUUGAAUACUUCUACACCAUUAAACUUGAAAACGGCAGAUAUCAACCAUUAAAAAUUAUUGAUUUUGAAUCAUUUCGAUUACUAGGUAAAUGAUAUCAAAAAAUCGCAAAAAUUAUUUUCUAGAAACUUCAAAUACGCUAAAUCAAGUCUAACGGAGCCGAUCGUCAAUUCAGAAAUUUCAUAAUCGAAAAUGGCUCAGGAGCACGGAGGCCUCCGUGCUCCUGAGAGCACAGCAGCCCUACUCUAUAUAUAUAUAUAUAGAGAGAGAGAGAGAGAGAGAGAGAGAAAGAGAGAGAGAGAGAGAGAGAGUUUGACUGGGCUACUAUUAGUAGCAAAAUCCUAUUGUUACUACCAGUUUUUUAACCUUUGGAUCAACUCUUUUUAUUAUUUCUAACCAUUGGAUUAAAUAUUAUAACCCAGUGGAGACCACUCAACCCCAGGGGGACCACUCAACUCUAACCAACUAAUAUCAUUCUGACCCUACAAUUUUUCAUCCAAAGGUUAAAAACUUGAUAGAAAAAAGAUUGUUUUACUAUUAAUAGUAUUCCAGCAUAAUUCUCUCUCUCUAUAUAUAUAUAUAUAGGGUCCAUCUACUAUACAAUUAUGAGUACGAUCGCCCUCAUACUCAUAAGUUGUUUUCGAUGAUAGAGCUUCCGAAUCGACGACCCAUAUCGUUAAAUGUUAUUUACAGCAUUUAAAACUUCUAGAAAUCAAAUUUUAUAAUUUUUCAACAUCAUUUACCUUACGAUCAAGAGGUCACAAAUUUGACAAUUCUUAACGGCCGGUAUGAGAUACUUGCUAGUUUAACGGUGUAAAAGAAUCGGAAUUUGUUGAAUUUUCGAUAGAAAAUUCUAUUCACUACAUAGAUAAAGAUCAAUAGCUCCGAUCUUGAAAUGAAGGUUCCGAUCAUUCUUUUUUAGGACGUCGUUCGAUUUUGACCGUUCAUUUUACGCCCACUUAAUGGACUUUAUUAUGAUUUCGAAAAUUUACAAAAUUUAUUUUCUAGAAGUUUCAAACACUCUAGAUCAUAUUUAACGGAGUGAAUCGUCGAUUCGGAAGCUGCAUCAUCGAAAACAACUUAUGAGUACGAGGGCUCUAAUACUUAUAAUAGUAUAGUAGCCAUGGCCUAUAUAGGGUCCAUCUACUAUACUAUUAUGAGUACGAUCGCCCUCAUACUCAUAAGUUGUUUUCGAUGAUAGAGCUUCCGAAUCGACGAUCCAUACCGUUAAACGUUAUUUACAGCAUUUAAAACUUCUAGAAAUCAAAUUUUAUAAUUUUUCAACAUCAUUUACUUAUAUAUAUAUAUAUAUAUAUAUAUAUAUAUAUAUAUAUAUAUAUAUAUAUAUAUAUAUAUAUAUAUAGUUGAGCUAGAAUACUCUUAAAAGCACCAAGAAAGUGGUACCAACUUAAUUUGUCAUGCCUCAUACUACACGUUUCUCCGGAUACGCCAACAGAUCCGUUGUUUACAUAAAAUUUUUUCUGUAUACGAAACAAUAGCUGUACUUGUAAACAAAACAAAGCUACAACCACACGAUAGAGAACUGCUAAACUGAAAAUAGCAUAUAACUUAUGUACACAUUCAUAUUCCUACAAAUAGACAAAAGAGAAAGUUUGCCGUUUUCGGCGACUCGGAACCCACCUAGCGUGUGAAUUCAACGAAAUGGAUUUUCGUUGAAAUUAAAAACUUAGAAUUGAAUUUCUAUAUAAUUUAGGAGCCGAUUUAGCGAGCGUUUUGUCGAGGAAUUUAAAAUUAUAAUUUUUAUUCCUCUUAUUCUAAUCUAAUCAUCCAAAUUAUUAUUUACUUUAUUCUCAGAAAUAACGUAAUUUUUUUAACAUAAAAUUGAUUUAGUUUCUAUUUAUAUAUUAACUUGCACUUAUUUUCAAAAUAAAUAAUUUUUAUUUAUACCCCAAACAAAGGGAGCCCCAAAAAAUUAAUAAAUUUACAGUGAUAUUAUUAUUAUUAUUUUAUUAUAAUAUUAGAAUUUAAAAUGAAAAGUGUAAAUGUUUGAGUUGGUGGAUUAACUUUUC
This 3742-nucleotide long non-coding RNA is filed under the name Ananas comosus (pineapple). Its description in RNAcentral is "long non-coding RNA (ACOM_LNC011226)". Lineage: Eukaryota; Viridiplantae; Streptophyta; Magnoliopsida; Poales; Bromeliaceae. The record is from RNAcentral.